Molecule: ribosomal RNA, 465 nt
Filed under: uncultured bacterium
Lineage: Bacteria
Description: partial 16S ribosomal RNA
Rfam family: Bacterial small subunit ribosomal RNA
Source: RNAcentral
GACGAACGCUGGCGGCGUGCUUAACACAUGCAAGUCGAACGGAAAGGCCCUGCUUGCAGGGUACUCGAGUGGCGAACGGGUGAGUAACACGUGGGUGAUCUGCCCUGCACUUCGGGAUAAGCCUGGGAAACUGGGUCUAAUACCGGAUAGGAGCCAUUUUUAGUGUGAUGGUUGGAAAGUUUUUUCGGUGUAGGAUGAGCUCGCGGCCUAUCAGCUUGUUGGUGGGGUAAUGGCCUACCAAGGCGGCGACGGGUAGCCGGCCUGAGAGGGUGGACGGCCACAUUGGGACUGAGAUACGGCCCAGACUCCUACGGGAGGCAGCAGGGGGGAAGAUUGCACAAUGGGCGCAAGCCUGAUGCAGCGACGCCGCGUGGGGGAUGACGGCCUUCGGGUUGGAAAAUCCUUUCGCUAGGGACGAAGCUUUUUGUGACGGUACCUAGAGAAGAAGCACCGGCUAACUACGUG